CAGCAGCCGCGGGAAUACGGAGGGUGCAAGCGUUAAUCGGAAUUACUGGGCGUAAAGCGCACGCAGGCGGUCUGUCAAGUCAGAUGUGAAAUCCCCGGGCUUAACCUGGGAACUGCAUUUGAAACUGGCAGGCUAGAGUCUUGUAGAGGGGGGUAGAAUUCCAGGUGUAGCGGUGAAAUGCGUAGAGAUCUGGAGGAAUACCGGUGGCGAAGGCGGCCCCCUGGACAAAGACUGACGCUCAGGUGCGAAAGCGUGGGGAGCAAACAGGAUUAGAGACCCGCGUAGUCCCUGUCUCUUAUAA
RNAcentral lists this ribosomal RNA (301 nucleotides) under uncultured bacterium. RNAcentral's name for it is "partial 16S ribosomal RNA". It matches the Rfam family "Bacterial small subunit ribosomal RNA", at positions 509 to 809 of the family's 1533-position model. The record is from RNAcentral.